UUAUCGGAGAGUUUGAUCCUGACUCAGGACGAACGCUGGCGGCGUGCCUAAUACAUGCAAGUCGAGCGAACAGAUGGGAGCUUGCUCCCUGAUGUUAGCGGCGGACGGGUGAUGUUAGCGA
RNAcentral lists this ribosomal RNA (121 nucleotides) under Bacillus subtilis. Its description in RNAcentral is "partial 16S ribosomal RNA". It matches the Rfam family "Bacterial small subunit ribosomal RNA", at positions 1 to 118 of the family's 1533-position model. Lineage: Bacteria; Bacillati; Bacillota; Bacilli; Caryophanales; Bacillaceae. The record is from RNAcentral.